GUGUUUGCUUUGGCAGCACAAAUGCUGAAAUUGGAACCACACAGAGAAGGUUAGCAUGGCUUCUCUGUGGGGAUGGCAUGCAAACUUGUGAAGCAUUCCCUAUUUUU
This 107-nucleotide small nuclear RNA is filed under the name Zalophus californianus (California sea lion). Lineage: Eukaryota; Metazoa; Chordata; Mammalia; Carnivora; Otariidae. The record is from RNAcentral.